UACGAAGGGGGCUAGCGUUGUUCGGAAUUACUGGGCGUAAAGCGCACGUAGGCGGAUAUUUAAGUCAGGGGUGAAAUCCCAGAGCUCAACUCUGGAACUGCCUUUGAUACUGGGUAUCUUGAGUAUGGAAGAGGUAAGUGGAAUUCCGAGUGUAGAGGUGAAACUCGUAGAUAUUCGGAGGAACACCAGUGGCGAAGGCGGCUUACUGGUCCAUUACUGACGCUGAGGUGCGAAAGCGUGGGGAGCAAACAGG
Molecule: ribosomal RNA, 253 nt
Filed under: uncultured bacterium
Lineage: Bacteria
Description: partial 16S ribosomal RNA
Rfam family: Bacterial small subunit ribosomal RNA
Source: RNAcentral